RNAcentral lists this small nuclear RNA (100 nucleotides) under Echinops telfairi (small Madagascar hedgehog). The record is from RNAcentral. Lineage: Eukaryota; Metazoa; Chordata; Mammalia; Afrosoricida; Tenrecidae.
AUCUGCGGCACAUAUACUAAAAUCAAUUGGAAUCAUUCAGAGAUUAGCAUGGCCCCUACACCAAGAUAACAUGCAAAUUCAUGAAGCAUUCCAUAUUUAA